This 560-nucleotide ribosomal RNA is filed under the name uncultured bacterium. Its description in RNAcentral is "bacterial SSU rRNA". It matches the Rfam family "Bacterial small subunit ribosomal RNA", at positions 8 to 576 of the family's 1533-position model. The record is from RNAcentral.
AGAGUUUGAUCCUGGCUCAGGAUGAACGCUAGCGGCAGGCCUAAUACAUGCAAGUCGAACGGUGAUAGCAAUAUCAUAGUGGCGCACGGGUGCGUAACACGUAUGCAACCUACCUAUUAUUGGGGGAUAGCCUUUGGAAACGGAGAUUAAUACCGCAUAAUGCGAUUGACUGGCAUCGGUUGAUUGUUAAAGCUUAGGCGAUAAUAGAUGGGCAUGCGUCCAAUUAGUUAGUUGGUUAGGUAACGGCUGACCAAGACGAUGAUUGGUAGGGGAUCUGAGAGGAUAAUCCCCCACACUGGCACUGAGAUACGGGCCAGACUCCUACGGGAGGCAGCAGUAGGGAAUAUUGGGCAAUGGGCGGAAGCCUGACCCAGCCAUGCCGCGUGCAGGAAGAAGGCGUUAUGCGUUGUAAACUGCUUUUUUAUAGGAAGAAGGAUCCCUUGCGAGGGAAGGUGACGGUACUAUAAGAAUAAGCACCGGCUAACUCCGUGCCAGCAGCCGCGGUAAUACGGAGGGUGCAAGCGUUGUCCGGAUUUAUUGGGUUUAAAGGGUGCGUAGGC